This 638-nucleotide ribosomal RNA is filed under the name fungal endophyte. RNAcentral describes it as "eukaryotic LSU rRNA". The stretch from base 191 to 344 matches the Rfam family "5.8S ribosomal RNA". Lineage: Eukaryota; Fungi. The record is from RNAcentral.
CGGAGGGAUCAUUAAAGAGUUCUAUAACUCCCAAACCCAUGUGAACAUACCUAACGUUGCCUCGGCAGGUCGCACCUACCUUGUAGCACCCUACCCUGUAGGGCCUACCCGGGAGGUGCGGGUAAGCCUGCCGGCGGCCCACCAAACUCUGUUUGAUAUUGAAUUCUGAACCUAUAACUAAAUAAGUUAAAACUUUCAACAACGGAUCUCUUGGUUCUGGCAUCGAUGAAGAACGCAGCGAAAUGCGAUAAGUAAUGUGAAUUGCAGAAUUCAGUGAAUCAUCGAAUCUUUGAACGCAUAUUGCGCCCAUUAGUAUUCUAGUGGGCAGGACCGUUCGAGCGUCAUUUCAACCCUUAAGCCUUCGUUGCUUAGUGUUGGGAGCCUACGGCAACGUAGCUCCUCAAAGUUAGUGGCGGAGUUGGUUCACACUCUAGACGUAGUAAUUUUUUAUCUCGCCUAUUAGUUGGACUAAUCCCCUGCCGUAAAACCCCUAAUUUAUCAAGGUUGACCUCGAAUCGGUUCAGACAAACUCGCUAAAUUGAAGCAUCUUAGUCAGCGAAGGAAAAGAAACCAACAGGGAUUGCCCUAGUAACGGCGAGUGAAGCGGCAACAGCUCAAAUUUGAAAUCUGGCCCUCGG